CUGCAAUGAAGUACUCCUUUAUCAUUUUUGUAUUGGCAUAGAUCUUGUCGGUGAUCCCCUCAGGUGCAGGCCCUCCAUUUUCCAUGUUAUAUUUGAUUCCAAAAUCCUCAUGCGGACCACCAGGGUUGUGACUAGCUGUUAGUAUAAAAGAUCCAGAUGCCUUGGAUCCAUCUGCACCAACUCUUUCUCGUAUGACAGCAGAAACAGCUGGUGUUGACAUUAAACCAUCUAGCCCAAUCCAAACACCCCGCACUCCAUUUGCAGCUGCCAUUUUGACUAUAAUCUGAAUGGCAUCUUUCGAGAAAUAUCGGCCAUCUCCAGAAACAACAAUGGUAGCACCUUUAACUUUAUCAGCAGCGAGCGCAUCAAACGUAGAUUGCACGAAGUUGUGCAGGUAGUGCGGCUGCUUAAACACCGUCACCUUCUUUCGGAGACCGGAGGUGCCGGGCUUCUGGCCGUCGAUGGGGGAGGUUUGCUUGCGUGUGACAGUGAAGAUCGCCAUGGCUGGAGGGCGAGAUCUGAGGGUAGGGGUGGUGG
This 537-nucleotide unclassified non-coding RNA is filed under the name Hevea brasiliensis (rubber tree). The record is from RNAcentral. Lineage: Eukaryota; Viridiplantae; Streptophyta; Magnoliopsida; Malpighiales; Euphorbiaceae.